UAGUCGAUGGGAAACGGGUUAAUAUUCCCGUACUUGGUGUUACUGCGAAGGGGGGACGGAGAAGGCUAUGUUGGCCGGGCGACGGUUGUCCCGGUUUAAGCGUGUAGGUGUGUGUUCCAGGUAAAUCCGGUUCACUUUAACACUGAGGCGUGACGACGAGGCACUACGGUGCUGAAGCAACAAAUGCCCUGCUUCCAGGAAAAGCCUCUAAGCAUCAGGUAACAUCAAAUCGUACCCCAAACCGACACAGGUGGUCAGGUAGAGAAUACCAAGGCGCUUGAGAGAACUCGGGUGAAGGAACUAGGCAAAAUGGUGCCGUAACUUCGGGAGAAGGCACGCUGACACGUAGGUGAAGUGAUUUACUCAUGGAGCUGAAGUCAGUCGAAGAUACCAGCUGGCUGCAACUGUUUAUUAAAAACACAGCACUGUGCAAACACGAAAGUGGACGUAUACGGUGUGACGCCUGCCCGGUGCCGGAAGGUUAAUUGAUGGGGUCAGCGCAAGCGAAGCUCCUGAUCGAAGCCCCGGUAAACGGCGGCCGUAACUAUAACGGUCCUAAGGUAGCGAAAUUCCUUGUCGGGUAAGUUCCGACCUGCACGAAUGGCGUAAUGAUGGCCAGGCUGUCUCCACCCGAGACUCAGUGAAAUUGAACUCGCUGUGAAGAUGCAGUGUACCCGCGGCAAGACGGAAAGACCCCGUGAACCUUUACUAUAGCUUGACACUGAACAUUGAGCCUUGAUGUGUAGGAUAGGUGGGAGGCUUUGAAGUGUGGACGCCAGUCUGCAUGGAGCCGACCUUGAAAUACCACCCUUUAAUGUUUGAUGUUCUAACGUGGACCCGUAAUCCGGGUUGCGGACAGUGUCUGGUGGGUAGUUUGACUGGGGCGGUCUCCUCCUAAAGAGUAACGGAGGAGCACGAAGGUUGGCUAAUCCUGGUCGGACAUCAGGAGGUUAGUGCAAUGGCAUAAGCCAGCUUGACUGCGAGCGUGACGGCGCGAGCAGGUGCGAAAGCAGGUCAUAGUGAUCCGGUGGUUCUGAAUGGAAGGGCCAUCGCUCAACGGAUAAAAGGUACUCCGGGGAUAACAGGCUGAUACCGCCCAAGAGUUCAUAUCGACGGCGGUGUUUGGCACCUCGAUGUCGGCUCAUCACAUCCUGGGGCUGAAGUAGGUCCCAAGGGUAUGGCUGUUCGCCAUUUAAAGUGGUACGCGAGCUGGGUUUAGAACGUCGUGAGACAGUUCGGUCCCUAUCUGCCGUGGGCGCUGGAGAACUGAGGGGGGCUGCUCCUAGUACGAGAGGACCGGAGUGGACGCAUCACUGGUGUUCGGGUUGUCAUGCCAAUGGCACUGCCCGGUAGCUAAAUGCGGAAGAGAUAAGUGCUGAAAGCAUCUAAGCACGAAACUUGCCCCGAGAUGAGUUCUCCCUGAGACUUAAAGUCUCCUGAAGGAACGUUGAAGACGACGACGUUGAUAGGCCGGGUGUGUAAGCGCAGUGAUGCGUUGAGCUAACCGGUACUAAUGAACCGUGAGGCUUAACCUUACAACGCCGAAG
RNAcentral lists this ribosomal RNA (1547 nucleotides) under Salmonella enterica. Its description in RNAcentral is "partial 23S ribosomal RNA". It matches the Rfam family "Bacterial large subunit ribosomal RNA", at positions 1412 to 2925 of the family's 2925-position model. Lineage: Bacteria; Pseudomonadati; Pseudomonadota; Gammaproteobacteria; Enterobacterales; Enterobacteriaceae. The record is from RNAcentral.